AUGCCGGAUGCUCCAGUUGGAUGCAUGUCCUUCUGGGAAAGAUUCAUCGGUAUGGGAUGGGGUCGCGUCCUAUCAGCUUGAUGGCGGGGUAACGGCCCACCAUGGCUUCGACGGGUAGCCGGCCUGAGAGGGCGACCGGCCACAUUGGGACUGAGAUACGGCCCAGACUCCUACGGGAGGCAGCAGUGGGGAAUAUUGCACAAUGGGCGCAAGCCUGAUGCAGCGACGCCGCGUGCGGGAUGACGGCCUUCGGGUUGUAAACCGCUUUUGACUGGGAGCAAGCCCUUCGGGGUGAGUGUACCUUUCGAAUAAGCACCGGCUAACUACGUGCCAGCAGCCGCGGUAAUACGUAGGGUGCAAGCGUUAUCCGGAAUUAUUGGGCGUAAAGGGCUCGUAGGCGGUUCGUCGCGUCCGGUGUGAAAGUCCAUCGCUUAACGGUGGAUCCGCGCCGGGUACGGGCGGGCUUGAGUGCGGUAGGGGAGACUGGAAUUCCCGGUGUAACGGUGGAAUGUGUAGAUAUCGAAAA
RNAcentral lists this ribosomal RNA (526 nucleotides) under Bifidobacterium adolescentis. RNAcentral describes it as "bacterial SSU rRNA". It matches the Rfam family "Bacterial small subunit ribosomal RNA", at positions 166 to 703 of the family's 1533-position model. The record is from RNAcentral. Lineage: Bacteria; Bacillati; Actinomycetota; Actinomycetes; Bifidobacteriales; Bifidobacteriaceae.